This 28-nucleotide non-coding RNA is filed under the name Rattus norvegicus (Norway rat). Lineage: Eukaryota; Metazoa; Chordata; Mammalia; Rodentia; Muridae. The record is from RNAcentral.
UGAGGACUUGACUCUAGCGAUUAGGUUC